This 66-nucleotide transfer RNA is filed under the name Myotis riparius (Riparian myotis). RNAcentral's name for it is "tRNA-Pro". RNAcentral also lists the same sequence under 4 other names. The record is from RNAcentral. Lineage: Eukaryota; Metazoa; Chordata; Mammalia; Chiroptera; Vespertilionidae.
CAGGAGGUAGUUUAAUUAGAAUAUCAGCUUUGGGUGUUGAUGGUAGGGCAUAAGCCUUUCUCUUGA